UAGAUGCGAGAGUAGAGCAUAUCAAUAAGCGGAGGAAAAGAAACUAACAAGGAUUCCCCUAGUAACGGCGAGUGAAGCGGGAAGAGCUCAAAUUUGAAAUCUUAAAGGGUUUCCCUUGACGAAUUGUAGUUUAUAGAAGUGUUUUCUGUUAGUAGAGUGGCAAAAGUUCUUUGGAAUAGGACAUCAUAGAGGGUGAGAAUCCCGUAUUUGGUCAUUCUUUCUAGCUUUGUGAUACACUUUCAACGAGUCGGAUUGUUUGGGAAUGCAGUCCAAAAUGGGUGGUAAAUUUCAUCUAAAGCUAAAUAUUGGCGAGAGACCGAUAGCGAACAAGUACCGUGAGGGAAAGAUGAAAAGAACUUUGAAAAGAGAGUUAAACAGUACGUGAAAUUGUCAAAAGGGAAGCGUUUGACACCAGUGUUGUUUUUCCGAAAAUCAAUUACGAAUGUUUUGUUUUUGAGGAGUUAUGACUUCAUCGGCUUGCUCCUUUCUUUAUGAAACUUUCUUAAUGCACUUUUCGGUUAACAAGUCAACAUCAAUUUCUUUUGUUGUAAAAGGGUAUGAGGAAGGUGGCUUUCUUUUCGGAGAAAGUGUUUACAGCCUUGUGCCUCUGCAAUCGGAGAGAUUGAGGUCUGCAGCGUAGAUCCUUCGGGGUUAGAUACAUUUGUGCUAAGUUAUAGCUUUUCAUAGACAACUUGUUGACUAUGUUUAGUCUUGUAGCUUACUCGCUUAUGCUAUUUUACCUACGCUUAGGAUGUUGACACACGCGCGUGCUCG
RNAcentral lists this ribosomal RNA (774 nucleotides) under uncultured Neocallimastigales. Its description in RNAcentral is "partial large subunit ribosomal RNA". It matches the Rfam family "Eukaryotic large subunit ribosomal RNA", at positions 22 to 643 of the family's 3401-position model. Lineage: Eukaryota; Fungi; Neocallimastigomycota; Neocallimastigomycetes; Neocallimastigales. The record is from RNAcentral.